Molecule: ribosomal RNA, 321 nt
Filed under: uncultured eukaryote
Lineage: Eukaryota
Description: partial 18S ribosomal RNA
Rfam family: Eukaryotic small subunit ribosomal RNA
Source: RNAcentral
CCCUUAGAUGUUCUGGGCCGCACGCGCGCUACACUGACGAAUGCAACGAGCUUAUAACCUUGGCCGAAAGGUCCGGGUAAUCUCUGAAACUUCAUCGUGAUGGGGAUAGAUCAUUGCAAUUAUUGAUCUUCAACGAGGAAUUCCUAGUAAGCGCAAGUCAUCAGCUUGCGUUGAUUACGUCCCUGCCCUUUGUACACACCGCCCGUCGCUUGUACCGAUUGGAUGGUCCGGUGAAAUCUUCGGAUAGCUGGUAGUUGGCUUGCCAUCUACUGCUAAAAGUUGCUUAAACCUUAUCAUCUAGAGGAACAAGAAGUCGUAACA